This is a long non-coding RNA of Lycium barbarum (goji berry), 11116 nucleotides long. RefSeq lists it as uncharacterized. The record is from RefSeq and is a predicted model, not a curated record. NCBI's taxonomy places the organism in Eukaryota, Viridiplantae, Streptophyta, Magnoliopsida, Solanales, Solanaceae. The transcript is spliced from 2 exons.
AUAAUUAACAACGUUGCGAUUUUACGUUAUGUUUCUAUCAUUCGGGUUUGGCGGUUUGCAAUCAAUUGGUAUUUUCUGUAUGCGUCUCAGAGCUUGGUCAGUUUUCUUUGGCUGCAGAGUUUGUUUUGCUCUCUGUACGUGUCAUAUUGGGUUAGUUGAACUUGUUUUGAUGCUUGUAUGCUAGAAGAAUCAAAAGCCUUCUAUCUGUAGAAAGACUUUCUUGGGACUGUUGGUAAUUGAAAGACUCAUAAUUCGCUUAUAUGGAGGGCUGUCGUAUGACCAUUAUGUGGAGAUAGUAUAUGUGGCUAUUAUUUUGUUCUAACUAAGGACUGGCCUAGACCUAAGGGCUGCUCUUUGCUUAGUUUUCUUUUGUUCAUCACGCCAUGCUUGACGUUUCUUUGAGUAAGGAGUGAAACUUGGGAUAGAAUUAAAUAUGGAAAAUUGGUUCCCAAUUAUAAGGCUUCAUCACUUUUAUGAUGGAGAUUUGUCAGCUUGAGAGGAAGAGGGGAUUUUCUCGUGUCUGAGGACUUGGCAAUGGUAACCGGGCAUUUGUUGAUUGAUUGAAUUAAAUAUGGAAAGUUGGUACAGUGCAUUGUUGGACCUUGGACGAGGUUGUCUGUUCUCUUAUGCAUCACAUUUUGGUCAGCUUCAUUGAUUGUUGUGAUUCUAAAUUUAAAUUAUCUCUACGGGUAAUUGUUUCAAUAUCCUAUCUUUUAUCUGAUCUCAGAAUUGUUUCCUUAUUUUUCUUGUAUAAUUUUAGCAUAAAAAAGUAUAGGGGGUUUCUCCAUUGGUUGCUGUUGGGCUAGCUCUUAAUUGUUAAGAAAUAAAAAAUCUGACAAGUUAGGUUUUGGUCUUGACGUCAAGUUAGUUUUUUGCACCAUACUUGCUCGAACAAUUCUUCUUUUCCUUUGGUUAUCAUCAUUGUUCUAUUCGCAUGUCUAGUUCCUUAUUCUUCUUCUUGUUGGGGCUUCUUAUAAAAACAAACCUUUCCAUGGGGUUGACCUUGAUCUUUUAUGCACAUUAUUAUCCUUUGCUAUUGUUCAACUUGUUGGACGGGUAAUAUGUUCGGGUUUUGAGUCUUGAGUAUUUCUUCUUGAUGAUCAUAGGUGAUUAGUCAAUGUAUUAGGACUGGUCACAGUUUAAUCAUGUUUCGAUUCGUGUUUCAAGGUGUACGUCAUGUAGAGGACCUUCUUCUGGAUUUCAGUAGGCCAGUGAGCAUUUGGUUUGGACCUGAUUCCUCGUCUUCGUUUUAAUUGAACGAUCUUUUGUUGUUCUUUUGUCUAUUGUUCUCUCCCUCUGUUUUCCACUAAGGUACAGUCUGAGUUGUUAUGGAUGCACUCGUUGGAUUUAAGGUGAAACGGGUGCGAGUUUCUUUUCUUUGGUGCAGAUGGUUCUUAGUUUAUUUGGUAUACUGGGAUUAGAGGCUUGUUUUAGAUGUUCAUCUCCUGGAUAAUCCAGAACCUUCGCUUACAUUCAAUCCUUUGGACUGUUGUUACUCCAAAAGUAUGAGCUGCUGUUAUUUUGGUGCUUAUGCUCUUCAAUCACAACUGAGGUGCUGUUCUGGAUUGCUAAAUUGAUGCUCGUGCUUCUUCUUUUCCUUUUCUCGCCGACUCUUUAUCACACUGAUUUUUUUUUUUUAUUAAGGAGUAGGGUGCAUGAUGAACGUUGGAUGAUUGGUAAUGGUAAUUCGCAUCCAGUUGUGCAAAUCUUGUCUCCUGAAAGGAAACACAGGGACUCUCCCUCUCGUGUCUUUUAUAUGUUUGAUGAUGAUUUCGUGGGGGGUAAGAUGAGGUAAUUGAGUCCUUACUUCUGUGCUUGCAGUUGCAGAAAGUAAAAUUUGUGACGGUGCAUUUCCUGUUUUGGUAGGGCCUUGUGGUUGAUUCAUCAGGUUUUUUCUUUUUGUCAUUUGCAUCAUGUUUAUAUUGUCAACUUGCUGAUUGUUUUGGGGUUUUCAAUUGAAUUCUCUCUACUGACAACUUUUUUCAACUUCCUAUUUCUUACCUGACCAUGAAAUUGUUUUCCUGAUUUCUUUUUUCCACUAUAUUCUUGCAGUGUAGUGGUUGUUCCAUUUGCAUAAUGAGUUAACCACUUCUUUUUUGAUGGUCUAUGUUGGCGAAGAUUAUCACUUAAUUGCUUAAGAUAUGAUUAGGGUGUUUUUGGUUUAGUCUUUCUGUUCCUCUGCAGUGUCUGCUUCUUCAUCUGCAAGUUUGCUUGUUGCUGGGCAUUACAUUAACCAAAAAAAAAUCUUACUGAUUGAGGCCAAAAAUUAAUGUUGAAGUCAUCAUGUCUUGGUGUGAGUUAGGGUUGUCGAUGUCGAGUUGGUUCUAGCAGGGAAAACUUGAGGGGGAAUUGGGAUUGGUGAAGCUCCUUCACUUAUUGCUCGAUCCGGAACCUAUUGGGAUAGCACCUUUUCCUCCUAUUAGCACGUCUUCUUGCCCAUUCAGUUCCUCUACUGGUAGUUGUUGUCUAGUUGUAGUUUUGAGUUAGAACUUAAGGCUGACCUCUUUCCCAGGGAUAACCCACUUUCAGGUCUAGCUUCACUAACUGUAUUCUCAUUUUUUUCAGAUGUCUAGUUUAUUAUGUGGUCACUGAUUAUUAUGUUCAAUCUGUUGCUGUAGUGGAUCCGUCUGGAUUAGAAGAUUCAACGAUGCCUCCAGGUUCUUCGAAUGUGUUCCUCUUUGUAAGAGGGUUGAGUCGUGAUUAUUUCUGCGUGUUUUGAUGGAAAUAGAUGUUAGUGUGUGACAGAGUCAUGCGAUCAUUUUUGUGCCUUGAUGGUCGUGGAAUUGUGUGCAACAGUAUUGGUACAGCUUCAUCAUGUCUGUGAUUUCUAUUUCGAUGAAUUACCAUGGUUGGGGAAUUGGAGAUCUUGCAUAUUUUCAAUUCAUCUGAUAUCUUGUUGUAAUUUUCAAUGGUGCACUCUUUUGGGAAGUUCUAGUAAGCCCGUUGAGUGAUUGGCUUGGCUGAUUUUUUUUUUUUUUUUUUUUUUUUUUUUUUUUGUUCUCGCCCUGGAUUUUCUUAACUAGGUGCGGUUCGAGGUUUUAUGGCAUUGCAGGUGGCAUCUUGGAUUUAGAUGGAUGGGUAAAGCGAGUAUUCUUGAUGAAGUAAGCAUUUUCAUUAUAAGCAUCUAGAGGAAGAGGAAGCAAGGCAAGUCUGUUCUCUUAUGUGUAGAGGAUGGGGCUAAGCAAGAAAAAUCUGUUAUUCUUUGCUUUUAUUUGCUGUAGUGGGAAUAAAACCUCUCUGCAAGUCUUCACAUCAGAUUGAAUAUUCUCUAGAUGUUGAAGCUUUACCCAGCCUUAUUGUAAUUUGAGGUUGCUUACUUGGGCGCUUUUAAUUCUUAUAUUAAUAGUGCGGUCUGUGGUUAUCCGAUUCCAGAAGCUCUUCGAAUUUCAAUUGGUGCAUUUAUCGUUCUGGAAUCUGCAAACAUAAUAAUAUUGAAUUUUGCUUCCCGGAUGAACACGAUAAGCAUUUCUACUUUGUUUUUUCUUUUGUUUAUCAAUGAUUGAUUUUCUUGAAGGAGUGGAAUAGGGCAGUGAUCACUGUGGUAGUAAAAUUACAUAUUGAAUUUUGUCUUCAGUUGCGAGGCUCUCAGCACUGUUCUUUCAAGGUCGUUUGGUGCUCCUGUCAUGCAGAUUAUCAGCUUCUAGAAUAGGGUGGUUCUCUCCCUCUCUCUGUCUUGCUCUUCAUAUCUGAUUAUUUUUUAGGGUGAGACGGGGUUUCACCGAAUUACGCACUCAUUACUGAGGCUUGAUUUCUGUGCUUGCAGUCGAAGAAACUUAUAUGUAAAGAUGGUUUCCCACUUUUUGUUUUUUGGUUAAACAAAAGUAUGAGCUGCUCUUAUUUUGUCGAGAUGCUUAUGUUCUUUGAUCCCCAUGCAUGAAGUUGUGGGUGACUGCGGAGGAUUGCUAAUGUCUAAUUGAGCUGCUUUAAUCCGUGAGAUUGUGGUACUGCUACUUUUGCUUGUGUUCCUUUGUCUAUCACUCUUAGAUUGAUUUUAAGCUACGAGUAAAACACAUGGAAAGUUGAGUGGAUGUUAUUGGAUGUGGAUAAUGCACCUCUAGUUACAAGCUAUGUUACUCGGACUCUUCAAAAAUAUCGAUGAGUGCGUGUCGGAUCCUCCAAAAGUAGUGUAUUUUUGGAGGAUCCGACACGGGUGCGGCAGCAUUUUUGGAGAGUCCGAGCAACUUAGGUUACAAGUUCACAGAUUAUCAUACAUAAUUACAGAUCCUGUCAGUUGGAAGGAGAGAGGGUGGUGGGUUUUCUGUGUGUUUGAUUCCACACCUGGGUUGGGCUAUUGGACUUUAUUCUUGGUGUUUGCAGGGGGAAUUUAAAUAUGCGAUGAUACUAGUCUUGAUUUGGUGGGCCCUUCUGGUUGAUUGUUGAAGUUUUUCCUAUUUUCUUGUGUGCAUGAUAUUUUUUUGUCAACUUCGUUAACUCUCGAGAUUUUCCACUUCAGUAGCUGUACUUACUCUCUUUUUGGUUUCCGAUGCCCUCAAAAAUAUCCUUUUUCCUUGGUCUUUUUUUCUAGUAUUCUUUUGCUGUUUUUUUUUUUUUUUUAAUCAUCUAGGGGUGAGGAGGAGGUUGUUCCAUUUGCAUGAUGUUAACAAUUUCUAGUUUGGUGGUUUAUGUGAAAGUCUAGACAAUCACUUUUUAUAUGCUAUUAGGGUGUUUCUUAAGCUUUUUUUUUUUUGUUCCUUAGUGAUAAUGUUCUCUUCGUCAUUCAAGUGUUGCUGGGCAGAUACAUCAAAGAAAGUCACAAUUGCUGAUUUGAAAAAAGGAACAAUUUAGAGUCUUAUCUGUUUUUGACAAUUUUGGAAGUCUCAUCUGUUGGUAUGACUUAGGGUUGUCAAUUUAAAGAUGGUAAUUGGUAGCACUUGCAAGGAUAUCUUUGGUUGCCCUGGUUGUGGCUCUGAGAUUAACAUUUUGUUUUCCUUCAGUGUGUAGUUUGUUAUGUCUUCCUUCUAGGGGGUUGUGAUGUGAUUUCUCCUCUGCAUUUUGGGAUAAUGUUGCUCGGACUCUUCAAAAAUGUCGAUGGGUGUGUGUCGGAUCCUCCAAAAAUAGUGCAUUUUUGGAGGAUCCGACAUGGGUACGGCAACAAUUUUGGAGAGUCCGAGCAACUUAGGAUAUGAGUUACACAUUUGCAAUUGAUCAGUUGGUUUAGUGGAAUCGUUUGGGAACAGGAGACUUACUCAGGUGGUUGGAAGUGAAUAAGUGUUAAUUUUGGUCUAGUCUUGUGAUUAUUUCUGUUCUGCUUGAUAAUUAUAGAUAUGAUUGGUGAAGGUAUGGAAUUGGGCACGGCUUACUCGCAUUUGGACUUCUUUUUGGGGUCCGUCAUGGAUGUGAUUUGUGAUUAUUUCUGUUCUGCUUGAUAACUGUAGAUAUGCUUGGUGAAGAUAUGAAAUUUGGCACGGCUUGAUCCCAUUUGGAUUUCUUGUUGGGGUCCGUCCGGAUGAUGAUUCAGACCUCUUGUGGUAAAUUUAGUUCAUAUGUUCUCUGGUUGUUAUGAUUUGGGGAAGUAUUAUGUUUUGGAAAUUUGAGCAAUGCACCGGAUCUUUGGUUUACUCGCAUUUGGACUUCUUUUUGGGGUCCGUCAUGGAUGUGAAUUGGGCACGGCUUACUCGCAUUUGGACUUCUUUUUGGGGUCCGUCAUGGAUGUGAUUUGUGAUUAUUUCUGUUCUGCUUGAUAACUGUAGAUAUGCUUGGUGAAGAUAUGAAAUUUGGCACGGCUUGAUCCCAUUUGGAUUUCUUGUUGGGGUCCGUCCGGAUGAUGAUUCAGACCUCUUGUGGUAAAUUUAGUUCAUAUGUUCUCUGGUUGUUAUGAUUUGGGGAAGUAUUAUGUUUUGGAAAUUUGAGCAAUGCACCGGAUCUUUGGUUUGGAUCUGCUUAGCCGUCUUUUUUUUUUUUUUUUUUUAAAAUCUACCAAGAUUGAUUUUACUAUUUCUCUCUCCUAUGGGUUUUUCUACCCUGAUGUGUCUGAGUUGUUAUGGAUGCAUGGGUGGGUGUCUCGAAUUUCGAAUGCAGUUGUUCUUGUCUGUUUUAUUUGGUGUGGAUUUCUUGUGCUCUGCUAUAAUGGAAUCUUUCAAUGAGUCCAGAGGUUCAAGAUUUAUUGGAGCUUCCCCCAAGACUGAUUUGUUUGGAGGUAUCCCAAUUGUGUUCCAAUCGUAUGUGCUGCUUUACUUUCCUCCAGAGUUCUCUUCAAGUUCAUUUGAGCUUUUAUGACUUUGUAGUUGCUGAAGUUAGAUGUGAUUAUGCACCUCCUACUUUUAGUCUUUCUGUUGUUUAUCACGGCUUAUUUUUGAUGAAUAGAUCACACGUGAGUCUAAUGAAGUUUGUUACUGCAGUUUGUCUUCGGUUAUAACGAGUCUGUUCUUUCAAGGUGCUUUUGGUUCUCCAUUAUGGUGUAGAUCUUGUCAGCAACUACAAAAUUGGGCGAUUCUCUCUUUGGUCUCUUUAUGUUAUAAUAUCCUAGAUGGCAUCAUAGGGGGCAACUGUGCUCCCAUUAUGGUCAGAUCUUGUCAGCUUCUAGGAUAAAAGGUUUCUCUCUUUGGUCUCUUUACGUUUGAUGAUUUUCUGGUUGAUAAGGUUGUGCAAACUGCAGUAUCCAUAGUUGCGCCAUGUCUUGAGUUCACCAUUUCUUCCUCCUACCGAGAUUUCCCUGUUAUGUUUUUCUCUCUCCUUGCAGGAUAUGCAUUACCCAGUUUGUAGUCAUUCAAUCAGCUGGUCUAGCUUGCCCUUUUGGAAGGGGAGAUUCAAGGAUGAAUUCAGGGUUUGGGAGUUUCAAGUGUUCUAUUUGGGGGGAAGGUUGAGUCAAGUGAUUAUUUGCUUGAUGAUCAUUCUUAACAUCGUGAUCUCAUAUGGAAUCCCUGCUCCGAUCAUGGAUUUGUUUCUGACUACGACCAAAACUUGAAUGAUCUCUUAUUUUGAUUUGAGAUAGUGAUGUCUUUGGUGGGAUUUUAACAAGAUAGUGGAGCUAUUGUUGCACCUGAUUCCGUGUCUUUCUUUAAAUCUUAUAAAAUUCUCUUGAUCUUUUACCUUUAGCUCUCUUUCUGCAUAAUGAAAUUUAGGUGUGGUCUGAGUUCUUAUGGAUUCUUCGGUGGCAUUUCGGUUUUUGAAUUCUUUUCUUUUGUUGCUGAUUCUGCUUAGCUAUAUUUUGGGUAGUGGCUUUUCUUGGAUGUUUGUCCCUAGAAAAAAGAGAACCUUUGUUCGUAUUGAGUGCCCUGGCCGUAGAAUUGACUUUUAUGAGCUGCUGUUAUAUUUGUUUUGAUGCUUCUGCUCUUUAAUCCAAUGUAGAGAGUUGUUCUGGUCCGCGCGGACAUAUUUUUGUUCUAGAGUAAGGGUGAUGGUGAUGCUCUCUGUGGUCUCAUUAUGUGCGAUUAUUUCAAAUGUAGGACAGGGCUUGUUCGGACUUUGGAUUAACUGAGCCUUGCUUUAAGUGCUUGCAGUCUCAGGAGCUUAUAUCUUAAGAUGGCUUCCUUGUUUGUUUUUACAUGGAAGCUCGGGCUGUUAUUGUGUUUCAAAAUGACGAUAAAUUUCUUUGUUCCUGAUUGUGUAGUUGCCUGGACCGUGCAGGAGUAAUAAUGUUCGACUGAGCUGCUCUGAUUCGUGGGGUGAUGCUACUUUGCCUUUCUCUUGUUUGUCAGUUUUCUAGACAUUUUGGCUGGGGAAUUAGGAUUGGAUCUUUGUUUAUUUAUGUUGUGUGCUCAUCUGAUUAAUGAGUCUGAGGACUGCUUCUGUGGGCCUUGUGUUCAUGUCUGGUUAUGUUAUAGCUUGUUGGCCCGAGUUGGAUGAGAGCUAUAUGCAAAUGAGCAUAUGCUAGCAAAUAUCACGUGGUAUAAUAGGGUCUUGAGAUUUGUAAUGUUAUUAUAUCCGAGAAAUCAACUAGUUCAAUUUAUGAAGUGGGCGAACUGUUAUGGAAGUGUGUUUAUUGGUGGGGCAUUCCAUUGUGAGCAGUUAGUUUUUCCUUCUCCAUAAUGAGCAGGGCCGAUUAACCUGGCUGUAGGUAUGAUCAGUACCAUUGUGCAACAGUUGUUGGGUCUAAGGUUCAUUAGUUGGGAAUCUCUGUUUAUUUCCGUCAAAUCUUCUUUUUCCUUGAUUCCCUUGGUGCUUUCUGGUGCGCAUAUAUCUUUCUAAGUGCAUUCUUGCAUGGAUGGUUGGAAGCUGCAUUACACGAAAGGAUUUGAAGCUGUUUCUUGCAGUUGCUGCAUGUUUUUAUCUAUGUCCUCGCAAAUUGCAGGCAAUAGUGUCUGCCUUACCUUUAUUGUGUUUGCUUCUGGCAGCAGGUUUAUUUCAGCUACUAAGGAGGGAACAAGCCUUAGCUCUUCUCAAGGGGGAGUUUGUUCAGUGCUUUUUGGUUUAGGUUAUGAUGUAUUAUUAUGCAGUAGAUCAUUAUAAGGAUGUGAGAAACUUCUUCUUUCUCCUUUGCUAUACUCAAAUAUUCCUUUUCUGAUUAGAAGUAGCAAGCCAUUCUAUUUUGCUACAGAUAGUAGGUCGCUCAUCAAGGUUGACAUAUCCGCGGCAGGGAAAUCCAACUGAAAAAGGUCCAACAUUUCUAGUUGUUUGAAGUAUUGAUAUGCUUAUGACAUAUGUGGUUUUGACUAAUUUGUCAAGUGAUUUAUUUUUUCCACUACCAAAAUUUCAACUGUUUUUCAAGUUAAAUGCCUGUCCAAACACAACACAAGUCCUGCAACUUUUUUUCAAUUUUUUUAUGUCCAAACGUUUACUUACUUUACAUAGGGAAAGGCUUCCGUCAUACAAACACACAAUUUCAUAACUUUUUGAUCUGAUCUUUCUUGUUUUCUGGUGGUUGGUGCCCUGACAAGUUGUGAAUUCAGUUGCCAUCAGAGAAUAUAGUUCCUAAGCAGGAAUCUUUGGUAGCUGUGGCGGUUUGAAAAUCUCUGUUCUUUUAUGGUAAUUUGGGGAUGUUGAUUCAGCCUUUCUGACAAGUUGUGAAUUCAGUUUGCAUCAGGGAAUAUAGUUUCUAAGCAGCAAUCUAGCUGUGGUGGUUUGGAUAUCUCUAUCCUUAUAUGGUACUUUGUUCCAAUGGGUUUUGGCAUUAUAGUAAUGCAUUGGUGAUGAUAUAUUUUUAGUGAAAUAGCAUUUUGGUAGGAUUCUUCAGUUAUAUGUUCAUAGGAAAUGAAGGCAGUUUUGGCAUUGGCUCUUGCUGAUGCUGCAUUUAUGGUGAUUAAGUGGCUAGGGAGUCUCGUCAUGUUAGCUUGUUCAGACAUGCUGGAAAUGCUUUUAUGUCUCAGAGUUCUUCUCUGCCUUUCUGCUCAUAGCUCAUCUAUUUGGCCUUUUAUGGGGUUUCAAGUUGAUUUUUUUUGUGCAUUAUGGGAUGUAGAUUAGAUAUUUGCUAACAUUUUUGAUUAUUCAAUGUAGAGAACUAUAGUUCCACGUGGGGGAUGAAAAUGAAAAUAUUUGAUCAGAUUCUGGGAGCUUUUUGAGUUUUCUGAGUUGGCAGGUUCAGCUGUGUUUUUAUGCUUGUGCUAUCUGAUGAUCACAGAUGAUUACAUGAUGUCAGAUUGGCAUGGCUUGAUCAUGUUUUUGGUUCUUUUUUGAGGUUUUGUCGUGGAUGGAUGGGACAUAUUUGCUAUCUUGAUUCCCUGUCUUACCUUUUUCAUGUAGACUAUGGGUAUCCGGAUUAACAUUUGGUUGCUGCAAAUUUUACUGUGAUAUUCUUAGCGAUAAUAGAACAAGUUGGAUUAAUUUAUGUUUUUGGUGUUUGUGUCUGGGAAAAAAUUAGUAUGUCUGCUCAUAUUGGUAUCUUUGGCUGAAGAUAUUUGAUAUUUUCCCCUGCAAAUUGAAGCUCCCUUGAGACUGCUUGUAACAUGAAGGUUCUCAACUAGCACUGUUCUCUGUUACUCUGUCUCAUGCUUCACAUGCUUAUGUUCUUAUCUCUAUCGAGGAGGCCUCCUUUUAGGGGGACGGUGUAAGCCUAAUUUAAUAAUGUUAUGGCUGCUCUGUACUGACCGCACAGGAGCAUGAGGGACAUUGUUUCAGCUCAUUGGUUGCUGUACCUGUGUUCAACAAGUCAUGCCGCACAGGCUUGAGGAGUGUGUGUCUUGCUCUCCUUCUGUUCGAUGUGUGUUUAUUGUCCAUGCUAAAGCAGGAAGAACUGGUCAGGGCAGAUAACUUCCUGCGCUAUAUGGUUCCUUUGCUUAGUCAACAACAGUCAACAAGUUACUAGUUGUCUAGUGUGAAUAUGUCCUAGAUUCUGUUAGGAGGAAGUAAUCCCCUUUGAUUCAAGAGUUUCUUGGUAAUUCCAUGGUGUUCUAUGUUUGUCCGAGGAUUAUUGGCAGAGCUGCAUUUUGUUUUCUUUUGUUGCUUGAUAUUCAUAGUUAUGGCAUACUGGUGCAAUAUUUUGAGUGUGACCCUUGUAACUCCGCCUGUCAAGUCAGCCGGUCCCAAGCCCGGAAAAAGGAGGAGGGCAAGUGCCUAUACUGAGGAGUGUUGGCCUCAGAUCAGCUGGUCCUCAGCCUGGAAAAAGGAGGGGCAAGUGUUGAGCUAGGCUGCUGCUCUGCACUUAAAACUGUUGGUGAGUGUUUUCUUGCUAGCUUUCGGAACAAUAUGCAUAUUCUCAACCGGAUAUGCAAUUACUUAUGUUAGAGAGACCAAAGACUAGCAAUGAACUAAAGGGUUUUUAAAGCAAUGCCGUGGAUUAGUCUGCUAUGUCACUGCUACGUACAUACUUUAAGAACUGGUGUGUGAAGAUUAUGCUUCCUGCUGCUUUUGCGGGGUUAAAGGUGAAGAAAGCACAGUAGUACUUCAUCAAUAUUGGCUGGUGGUUUCCGUGUCAAAAUCCUGCCUAAAAGUGGCCGUUGCCUGUACAUCUUGGAUUGAAAAAAGUUGAAUGUCUGAUAUGUUGGAGGUCAGAUGUCACUCUGGAUUAACCCUUUCCUUCACUUAGAGUUCGGACGAAAACGAUGUAAAUGUUCCUCUUUUGGGAAUGAGUGCAUAGCGUCAGAUCUCCCUCUGGACUUACGCUGUUUGUUGAUCAGUUUUGUUUCUCCGUGAUGAUAACGUGAUCUAUGGGGUAAACUUCUCAUGGGAGGAAGUAUUUCAUAAAUGUGGAAAGUAUCAUGAACACCUAAUCCUAAUAGGUGAAUUUCUUUUAGAGAAAUCA